ACGGAAGGCAGCAGUGGGGGAUAUUGCGCAAUGGGGGCAACCCUGACGCAGCAACGCCGCGUGAAGGAAGACGGCCUUCGGGUUGUAAACUUCUUUAAGUGUGGAAGAAGAUGACGGUACACACAGAAUAAGCCACGGCUAACUACGUGCCAGCAGCCGCGGUAAUACGUAGGUGGCGAGCGUUGUCCGGAUUUACUGGGUGUAAAGGGCGUGUAGGCGGGAUUACAAGUCAGAUGUGAAAUACCGGGGCUCAACUCCGGGGCUGCAUUUGAAACUGUAGUUCUUGAGUGCUGGAGAGGAAAGCGGAAUUCCUAGUGUAGCGGUGAAAUGCGUAGAUAUUAGGAGGAACACCAGUGGCGAAGGCGGCUUUCUGGACAGUAACUGACGCUGAGGCGCGAAAGUGUGGGGAGCAAACAGGAUUAGAUACCCUGGUA
RNAcentral lists this ribosomal RNA (434 nucleotides) under uncultured Anaerobacterium sp. RNAcentral describes it as "partial 16S ribosomal RNA". It matches the Rfam family "Bacterial small subunit ribosomal RNA", at positions 341 to 792 of the family's 1533-position model. Lineage: Bacteria; Bacillati; Bacillota; Clostridia; Eubacteriales; Oscillospiraceae. The record is from RNAcentral.